Molecule: long non-coding RNA, 1263 nt
Organism: Ictalurus punctatus (channel catfish)
Lineage: Eukaryota; Metazoa; Chordata; Actinopteri; Siluriformes; Ictaluridae
Source: Ensembl
CCUCUCUCUGUGUCUCUCUCUGUCUCUCUCUCUUUCUGUCACUUGGUCUCUCUUAGUCUCCUCUCUCACACACACACACACACACACACUUCUUCUAAUAAGCCUACUUCCGUUCAGAUUUCAGUGUUUAGUCCAGACCUCCGGAGCCGUGACUUGACGAGUUCCAGGUCAGUGUCUACGGCGGUUAACGUGAUGAUGUGGUUUGUUACACUACGACUUCUCUGAUUAGCGAUGAGGUCGUUUCGGCUAACGGUGUUUUUUUUUUCUCUCUCUCACACAAAUACCCAUAAAUUUAUGAAAUCAACAUUUAUGAGGGUCCCCCCCCCCCCACCACUUGUACUUGAUUUGUCCAGAAACCCUUACAUGAUGUUUUUAGAUUCUCACGAGUACUUUUGUAUUUUCUUUCUUUCUUUCUUUGUAAGGUUAGAGUGUAGGGAAGAUAAUUUAUAACUGAUUAUAGAUGACAUAAAUGCCGUAGUGUACGGGGUUAGAGGAGCGCGAUGAAUAAGUAAAUGUGUCGGAUGAGUAAAGGCCAUGUUCUAGUUUGUGAUGCGGUGAAAUGUAUUGUUUCUGCGAUGCCGAUAUGCAGCUCUGGUAGCUAUUACGAUUUGCUGGUAGUUAGUUUAGAAAAAAACAGAUGAACUUUUCUUUCUUUUUUUUUUUUUUUUUAAAAAAAGUGGAAUUAGUAGAACAAGCGGUUUUGUUUACAUGAAGCCCGUAGUUAAGAUCUCUUUAAGAUCACUGAUGGAGAACGAAGUACGGCUCACGCCCUGGCAGGAGAGGAGUGCUGCGAUUAAACCCAUUCCAUCAAACCCAUAUUAUACACACGCGACAAAAAGUGCUGUCAACAUUCAGCAAGCGACUUUCUUUUUAUUUAACAGAGCAGGUGAUGAGGCAGGGCUUCUGCCCACAAUGAAGAAACGAGGCACUGUGGCUACAACGCGUCACCUAUAACUACAGACACAGGGUGUGUGAAGCAUCAACGGGAAGUCUACGUUGUUGUUGUUGUUGUUGUUGUUUUAAAGAAGAAGAAGAAGAAUUUCUUUUACAAUGAAAGCGAUCCUGGCUGCAAAGAAAAAAAUUUUUUUUUAAAUCCCUGAGAAUCCGAGAAUCCCUGAAGUAGAGUCUCGAAAACAUCAACAACUCGUAGGAUUCGUGUCAUUACGGACUGAAUGGGAGUGCUAAGCAAUACGUUGGCAUGCAUCCAAUUUGUCCAGCUCUAUGUUGAAGAAGCAGUAUGUCAUCGUUACAGCCCUCUGCUGG